CUCAUUUUUCUACUGCUCGUGGUAAGUGGCUUCGUGGUCUUUAUAGCUGUUACUCUUUUGUACUUUGUCUUUUUCUUUUAUUUUCUUUUGAGCGAUUGUGCGAACAUAGCAUAGCACGCACUAUGCCUUCUGUGUUGUAGCUGCCUGGCCAGGGCGACUGGCGGAUAAGGUCUUGUGCGUGGCCUCGAGGCUUAAAAGUAGCAGUGGGGCUUUGUGAAGGACAAAAUGGCGAUGGCGGGCCGUGUAGGUCCCCCUUCCUAUGAUGAGGACCUUUUCACAGACCUGUACUGAGCUCCGUGAGGAUAAAUAACUCUGAGGAGAUGGGCCCUGCAAGCCUCUUGCUUAGCCGUCUGUUCAGAAAAUAGCGUUUUCGAAAUGCCCUGAGUUGACCUAAUGUCUUAUUGGGCUCCUGUCUGCAGGAUUUACGCGCACGUUGGAACCGAAGAGAGCUCUGUUGUUGCACCCACAAGAGCUUACUGGUGAAGGAAUGGGACAAGACCCAUCUUUAUGCAAAGCCAGCGUUACAGUAAUGUUCCAGCAUCUCAUAAUCUAUCCUGGGGAAUUCAGCUGCCUCCCAGGGUGAAUACAGGUAUUCCUGAUGACAGUCUGCCUCUAUCUUACAGAGCAGCUUGUUGCUAUAUACCAUUGAAAAGCCUUCAGAGCUGAGAGGUACUACUAACCAAUAACCUGCUUGGCUCAAAGGGCCAGCACCUUCUCUCUAAAGCCCAAGAGGAGUUUGAGGAAAACUAGGUGUCUGUGUUCACUCCAGGCUGAAGUUACAGGUCUGAGCAAAUAAGGUGUAUAAAAAAUGGAAUCUGUCUUGGAGGACAUCAGAAGGUGAAUUUUCCAAGUUCUUGGACAACCUAGCUGUUGAAAAGCUUUCUGGGUUUGGGGGGUAUUUCAGAUGUACCUUAAAGUGUUAGCAGACACAGAUUAAGACACUGGGAGCCAAUGAAACAGCAGUUGAGGGUUUGCUGUGUAUCACAUUUCUGUAUUUUAUCACCCCCUUCCUGCAACAUUAUUUAUCUGGAAUCUACCUGCCCUUUUGUUUUUUAGAUACAAGGGCUUGGUUUUGUUACCCAGGCUGGUUUCAAGGCCAUAGCUUUAAGAGAUCCUCUCACCACAGAUUUCCAAAGUGCUGGGAUUGCAGGUGUGAUUCAUGGCACCCAGACUUUGCUGCCUUUCUUACAUGAUCCAGGCCCAGAACCCAAACUCAGGCACUGUAUAGAUGACCACUUUCGUAAACUACUGACCUAGCUUGUUGCCAAUUGUUGAUUGAACUUCCCAUAACUCCACUUCGUGUCUGUUCCUCUGUAUACAGCCACCUUCUGUUCCCGUCAUGAGCCUUUAGGUCUCCAUUUGCAUAUUGCAAAUACUAUGUUCCAUGUAGGUAGCUCAUUCAGGGCCUUGCUCUUCACUUCAAAAAAGGUUCCCUUGAGGACUGGCUGUCAAUUUGUGUUGCUGUGUUGGUUGUUGAUGAAAAUAAUAAAAUGAUUGAUUACAUAGUCCUGUUUAAAAAAAAAAAAA
RNAcentral lists this long non-coding RNA (1527 nucleotides) under Homo sapiens (human). RNAcentral's name for it is "small nucleolar RNA host gene 1, transcript variant 3 (SNHG1)". The stretch from base 254 to 322 matches the Rfam family "Small nucleolar RNA SNORD25". The record is from RNAcentral. Lineage: Eukaryota; Metazoa; Chordata; Mammalia; Primates; Hominidae.